This is a long non-coding RNA of Bufo bufo (common toad), 154 nucleotides long. RefSeq lists it as uncharacterized. The transcript is spliced from 4 exons. Lineage: Eukaryota; Metazoa; Chordata; Amphibia; Anura; Bufonidae. The record is from RefSeq and is a predicted model, not a curated record.
ACUCUUUGCAUGGCCUGGUCUGCAGCGAUUGUGAUGCUGGUUCUCGGCAACCACUUACUUUUAGCUGAUGUGUGACACAGCGCUGACAUCAGCAUGUCCGUCACUAUUGUAUGCCGCCCUCAGUGAGGUCAGCAUGAAGUUGAUGACAGGUUCC